CUUUACUGUAACUUGAAAUUGAAAUUGGACUUUCCUUGCGCAGGAUAGGUGGGAGGCUAUGAGAAUAUUCUUGCGGGAAUAUUGGAGCUAUCAGUGAGAUACCACUCUUGGAAUGUUAGAUUUCUAACUUUGGAUCAUUAUCGGGUCAAAGAACAGUUUCAGGCGGGCAGUUUGACUGGGGCGGUCGCCUCCUAAACGGUAACGGAGGCGCACAAAGGUUUCCUCUGAACGGGUAGAAAUCGUAUCUAGAGUGUAAAGGCAUAAGGAAGCUUGACUGUGAGACCUACAAGUCGAGCAGGGACGAAAGUCGGUCUUAGUGAUCUGACGGUGCUGAGUGGAAAGGCCGUCACUCAACGGAUAAAAGUUA
This 367-nucleotide ribosomal RNA is filed under the name uncultured organism. RNAcentral's name for it is "bacterial LSU rRNA". It matches the Rfam family "Bacterial large subunit ribosomal RNA", at positions 2099 to 2465 of the family's 2925-position model. The record is from RNAcentral.